RNAcentral lists this ribosomal RNA (498 nucleotides) under uncultured bacterium. Its description in RNAcentral is "partial 16S ribosomal RNA". It matches the Rfam family "Bacterial small subunit ribosomal RNA", at positions 30 to 523 of the family's 1533-position model. The record is from RNAcentral.
AUUGAACGCUGGCGGCAUGCCUUACACAUGCAAGUCGAACGGCAGCACGGGGCAACCGGGUGGCGAGUGGCGAACGGGUGAGUAAUGCAUCGGAACGUACCUUUCAGUGGGGGAUAACGUAGCGAAAGAUACGCUAAUACCGCAUAUUCUGUGAGCCGGAAAUCAGGGGAUCGCCAGACCUUGCGCUGAUUGAUCGGCGGAUGUCAGUCUAGCUAGUUGGUGAGGUAAAGGCUCACCAAGGCGACGAUCUGUAGCGGGUCUGAGAGGAUGAUCCGCCACACUGGAACUGAGGCACGGUCCAGACUCCUACGGGAGGCAGCAGUGGGGAAUUUUGGACAAUGGGGGCAACCCUGAUCCAGCCAUGCCGCGUGAGUGAAGAAGGCCUUCGGGUUGUAAAGCUCUUUCGGCCGGGAAGAAAUCGCAUGGGCUAAUACCCUGUGUGGAUGACGGUACCGGAAUAAGAAGCACCGGCUAACUACGUGCCAGCCGCCGCGGUAA